GACACGCCAUCUCUUCAUCCUCCUCUCCCUCAUCACUGUCCUGAAGGAGGAAGUAAUAGAAAGACAAACGGCCAAAACUAUGGUGAAACCCGACCACUCUCCUGCUUCUGUGUCCGGUGUAACACUAGAGGAGAUAUGAGCUGGGCAGAAAAACAGGUGAAUACAGAGUCAAACUGGGCAAAGAGUACGUCCUGUUCAUGCCCCUCCCCCUCCCCCGAGAUGAAUUAGGGUCGACAGAACAAUGCUGCUCUCCGCCCUUCCUGCAGCACCUGGAACCGCACUGCUAGGGGUGACUAGUAAUUAGGUAAGGUGAUAAAUAUGCAUGAGCGAGUGGGUGGUUUUUAAAC
Molecule: long non-coding RNA, 347 nt
Organism: Micropterus salmoides (largemouth bass)
Lineage: Eukaryota; Metazoa; Chordata; Actinopteri; Centrarchiformes; Centrarchidae
Exons: 3
Source: RefSeq, a predicted model, not a curated record